AGUGAACGCUGGCGGUAGGCCUAACACAUGCAAGUCGAACGGCAGCACAGUAAGAGCUUGCUCUUACGGGUGGCGAGUGGCGGACGGGUGAGGAAUACAUCGGAAUCUACUUUUUCGUGGGGGCUAAAGUGGGGAAACUUACGCUAAUACCGCAUACGACCUACGGGUGAAAGCAGGGGAUCUUCGGACCUUGCGCGAUUGAAUGAGCCGAUGUCGGAUUAGCUAGUUGGCGGGGUAAAGGCCCACCAAGGCGACGAUCCGUAGCUGGUCUGGGAGGAUGAUCAGCCACACUGGAACUGGGACACGGUCCAGACUCCUGCGGGAGGCAGCAGUGGGGAAUAUUGGACAAUGGGCGCAAGCAUGAUCCAGCCAUACCGCGUGGGUGAAGAAGGCCUUCGGGUUGUAAAGCCCUUCUGUUGGGAAAGAAAAGCAGCAGGUUAAUACCCCGCUGUUCUGACGGUACCCAAAGAAUAAGCACCGGCUAACUUCGUG
RNAcentral lists this ribosomal RNA (492 nucleotides) under uncultured bacterium. RNAcentral's name for it is "partial 16S ribosomal RNA". It matches the Rfam family "Bacterial small subunit ribosomal RNA", at positions 29 to 507 of the family's 1533-position model. The record is from RNAcentral.